Molecule: RNA transcript, 820 nt
Organism: Manihot esculenta (cassava)
Lineage: Eukaryota; Viridiplantae; Streptophyta; Magnoliopsida; Malpighiales; Euphorbiaceae
Gene name: protein NUCLEAR FUSION DEFECTIVE 6, mitochondrial
Exons: 4
Source: RefSeq, a predicted model, not a curated record
CCCAGCCCAAUAUCAAUGUGUAUAGUCAAAACCCUAAACCCAAGAUCUCCAUUGCUUCCUGAAGCGUACUCUAAGCAAUCCCAAUAGCCAUGUCCGCCACCGCAGCAGCCAGGUCUGUCCUGCGCUCCAACGCUGUUCGAACUGUCCGACUCGUCUCCGGACCCAAAAGCGGACCAGGAAGCAAACCAGUUUUCUCCCCAUUUCGCAUCUCGAAGCAGAAUCCCCUCUCUCAGCGCAUUUUCAGGUCACCAGUGGAACUCAGCUGUUGUGUGGAGACGAUGCUUCCAUAUCAUACUGCGACUGCUUCCGCGUUGCUCAAUUCAAUGCUAUCUGCCUCUCGCCGCAGCUAUGGUUGGACCCCUGAAGAUUGCAAUGAUGAUGUAUGAUGAAUGUCAGAGGAUUCGAGCAAAGUUUUUGUACAUGACUCAAUGAGAAGAUGGAUGAUUGCUGGUUAUUUGAAUGUGGUGCAUUGGUCAAUUAGUUAUCAUGGAUUUCAAUGGACUUUCUUAGUCUUGCUCGAGACAUUAUUCUCCUUGGCGAACGGAAUGAGGUUAAUCCAAUGGUUCAUCUGCAAGCAUAUGCAAGUAGGUACUUUUGGAAAUAGGCACAUUUUGUAAUUUCCCAGGUGCUGAAAGUUGUUCGUUACCAAAAAUGGAUUUUUUGUUCUCCCCUUUUUGUUAAAUUGAUAAGGUUGUACUGCUGUAGCUCCAUACUCGAAAACCCACCAGAACAACCUCAAUGGGAUCUGAAGCUGAGAUUUCAAAUUAGAGAUAUUAAUGCUUAGGCAAUUAGCCAAUUAGGUGUUGCUUUUGCUUCCAUA